GGUUAAGCGACUAAGCGUACACGGUGGAUGCCCUGGCAGUCAGAGGCGAUGAAGGACGUGCUAAUCUGCGAUAAGCGUCGGUAAGGUGAUAUGAACCGUUAUAACCGGCGAUUUCCGAAUGGGGAAACCCAGUGUGAUUCGUCACACUAUCAUUAACUGAAUCCAUAGGUUAAUGAGGCGAACCGGGGGAACUGAAACAUCUAAGUACCCCGAGGAAAAGAAAUCAACCGAGAUUCCCCCAGUAGCGGCGAGCGAACGGGGAGCAGCCCAGAGCCUGAAUCAGUGUGUGUGUUAGUGGAAGCGUCUGGAAAGGCGCGCGAUACAGGGUGACAGCCCCGUACACAAAAAUGCACAUGCUGUGAGCUCGAUGAGUAGGGCGGGACACGUGGUAUCCUGUCUGAAUAUGGGGGGACCAUCCUCCAAGGCUAAAUACUCCUGACUGACCGAUAGUGAACCAGUACCGUGAGGGAAAGGCGAAAAGAACCCCGGCGAGGGGAGUGAAAAAGAACCUGAAACCGUGUACGUACAAGCAGUGGGAGCCUCUUAAUGGGGUGACUGCGUACCUUUUGUAUAAUGGGUCAGCGACUUAUAUUCUGUAGCAAGGUUAACCGAAUAGGGGAGCCGAAGGGAAACCGAGUCUUAACUGGGCGUUAAGUUGCAGGGUAUAGACCCGAAACCCGGUGAUCUAGCCAUGGGCAGGUUGAAGGUUGGGUAACACUAACUGGAGGACCGAACCGACUAAUGUUGAAAAAUUAGCGGAUGACUUGUGGCUGGGGGUGAAAGGCCAAUCAAACCGGGAGAUAGCUGGUUCUCCCCGAAAGCUAUUUAGGUAGCGCCUCGUGAAUUCAUCUCCGGGGGUAGAGCACUGUUUCGGCAAGGGGGUCAUCCCGACUUACCAACCCGAUGCAAACUGCGAAUACCGGAGAAUGUUAUCACGGGAGACACACGGCGGGUGCUAACGUCCGUCGUGAAGAGGGAAACAACCCAGACCGCCAGCUAAGGUCCCAAAGUCAUGGUUAAGUGGGAAACGAUGUGGGAAGGCCCAGACAGCCAGGAUGUUGGCUUAGAAGCAGCCAUCAUUUAAAGAAAGCGUAAUAGCUCACUGGUCGAGUCGGCCUGCGCGGAAGAUGUAACGGGGCUAAACCAUGCACCGAAGCUGCGGCAGCGACGCUUAUGCGUUGUUGGGUAGGGGAGCGUUCUGUAAGCCUGCGAAGGUGUACUGUGAGGUAUGCUGGAGGUAUCAGAAGUGCGAAUGCUGACAUAAGUAACGAUAAAGCGGGUGAAAAGCCCGCUCGCCGGAAGACCAAGGGUUCCUGUCCAACGUUAAUCGGGGCAGGGUGAGUCGACCCCUAAGGCGAGGCCGAAAGGCGUAGUCGAUGGGAAACAGGUUAAUAUUCCUGUACUUGGUGUUACUGCGAAGGGGGGACGGAGAAGGCUAUGUUGGCCGGGCGACGGUUGUCCCGGUUUAAGCGUGUAGGCUGGUUUUCCAGGCAAAUCCGGAAAAUCAAGGCUGAGGCGUGAUGACGAGGCACUACGGUGCUGAAGCAACAAAUGCCCUGCUUCCAGGAAAAGCCUCUAAGCAUCAGGUAACAUCAAAUCGUACCCCAAACCGACACAGGUGGUCAGGUAGAGAAUACCAAGGCGCUUGAGAGAACUCGGGUGAAGGAACUAGGCAAAAUGGUGCCGUAACUUCGGGAGAAGGCACGCUGAUAUGUAGGUGAAGUCCCUCGCGGAUGGAGCUGAAAUCAGUCGAAGAUACCAGCUGGCUGCAACUGUUUAUUAAAAACACAGCACUGUGCAAACACGAAAGUGGACGUAUACGGUGUGACGCCUGCCCGGUGCCGGAAGGUUAAUUGAUGGGGUUAGCGGUAACGCGAAGCUCUUGAUCGAAGCCCCGGUAAACGGCGGCCGUAACUAUAACGGUCCUAAGGUAGCGAAAUUCCUUGUCGGGUAAGUUCCGACCUGCACGAAUGGCGUAAUGAUGGCCAGGCUGUCUCCACCCGAGACUCAGUGAAAUUGAACUCGCUGUGAAGAUGCAGUGUACCCGCGGCAAGACGGAAAGACCCCGUGAACCUUUACUAUAGCUUGACACUGAACAUUGAGCCUUGAUGUGUAGGAUAGGUGGGAGGCUUUGAAGUGUGGACGCCAGUCUGCAUGGAGCCGACCUUGAAAUACCACCCUUUAAUGUUUGAUGUUCUAACGUUGGCCCCUAAUCGGGGUUGCGGACAGUGUCUGGUGGGUAGUUUGACUGGGGCGGUCUCCUCCUAAAGAGUAACGGAGGAGCACGAAGGUUGGCUAAUCCUGGUCGGACAUCAGGAGGUUAGUGCAAUGGCAUAAGCCAGCUUGACUGCGAGCGUGACGGCGCGAGCAGGUGCGAAAGCAGGUCAUAGUGAUCCGGUGGUUCUGAAUGGAAGGGCCAUCGCUCAACGGAUAAAAGGUACUCCGGGGAUAACAGGCUGAUACCGCCCAAGAGUUCAUAUCGACGGCGGUGUUUGGCACCUCGAUGUCGGCUCAUCACAUCCUGGGGCUGAAGUAGGUCCCAAGGGUAUGGCUGUUCGCCAUUUAAAGUGGUACGCGAGCUGGGUUUAGAACGUCGUGAGACAGUUCGGUCCCUAUCUGCCGUGGGCGCUGGAGAACUGAGGGGGGCUGCUCCUAGUACGAGAGGACCGGAGUGGACGCAUCACUGGUGUUCGGGUUGUCAUGCCAAUGGCACUGCCCGGUAGCUAAAUGCGGAAGAGAUAAGUGCUGAAAGCAUCUAAGCACGAAACUUGCCCCGAGAUGAGUUCUCCCUGACUCCCUGAGAGUCCUGAAGGAACGUUGAAGACGACGACGUUGAUAGGCCGGGUGUGUAAGCGCAGCGAUGCGUUGAGCUAACCGGUACUAAUGAACCGUGAGGCUUAACCUU
Molecule: ribosomal RNA, 2905 nt
Filed under: Escherichia coli
Lineage: Bacteria; Pseudomonadati; Pseudomonadota; Gammaproteobacteria; Enterobacterales; Enterobacteriaceae
Description: 23S ribosomal RNA
Rfam family: Bacterial large subunit ribosomal RNA
Source: RNAcentral